RNAcentral lists this ribosomal RNA (2356 nucleotides) under Salmonella enterica subsp. enterica serovar Mbandaka. RNAcentral describes it as "bacterial LSU rRNA". It matches the Rfam family "Bacterial large subunit ribosomal RNA", at positions 593 to 2925 of the family's 2925-position model. Lineage: Bacteria; Pseudomonadati; Pseudomonadota; Gammaproteobacteria; Enterobacterales; Enterobacteriaceae. The record is from RNAcentral.
GUGACUGCGUACCUUUUGUAUAAUGGGUCAGCGACUUAUAUUCUGUAGCAAGGUUAACCGAAUAGGGGAGCCGGAGGGAAACCGAGUCUUAACUGGGCGUUAAGUUGCAGGGUAUAGACCCGAAACCCGGUGAUCUAGCCAUGGGCAGGUUGAAGGUUGGGUAACACUAACUGGAGGACCGAACCGACUAAUGUUGAAAAAUUAGCGGAUGACCUGUGGCUGGGGGUGAAAGGCCAAUCAAACCGGGAGAUAGCUGGUUCUCCCCGAAAGCUAUUUAGGUAGCGCCUCGUGAAUUCAUCUCCGGGGGUAGAGCACUGUUUCGGCUAGGGGGCCAUCCCGGCUUACCAACCCGAUGCAAACUGCGAAUACCGGAGAAUGUUAUCACGGGAGACACACGGCGGGUGCUAACGUCCGUCGUGAAGAGGGAAACAACCCAGACCGCCAGCUAAGGUCCCAAAGUCAUGGUUAAGUGGGAAACGAUGUGGGAAGGCCCAGACAGCCAGGAUGUUGGCUUAGAAGCAGCCAUCAUUUAAAGAAAGCGUAAUAGCUCACUGGUCGAGUCGGCCUGCGCGGAAGAUGUAACGGGGCUAAACCAUGCACCGAAGCUGCGGCAGCGANNGUUGGGUAGGGGAGCGUUCUGUAAGCCUGUGAAGGUGGCCUGUGAGGGUUGCUGGAGGUAUCAGAAGUGCGAAUGCUGACAUAAGUAACGAUAAAGCGGGUGAAAAGCCCGCUCGCCGGAAGACCAAGGGUUCCUGUCCAACGUUAAUCGGGGCAGGGUGAGUCGACCCCUAAGGCGAGGCCGAAAGGCGUAGUCGAUGGGAAACGGGUUAAUAUUCCCGUACUUGGUGUUACUGCGAAGGGGGGACGGAGAAGGCUAUGUUGGCCGGGCGACGGUUGUCCCGGUUUAAGCGUGUAGGUGUGUGUUCCAGGUAAAUCCGGUUCACUUUAACACUGAGGCGUGACGACGAGGCACUACGGUGCUGAAGCAACAAAUGCCCUGCUUCCAGGAAAAGCCUCUAAGCAUCAGGUAACAUCAAAUCGUACCCCAAACCGACACAGGUGGUCAGGUAGAGAAUACCAAGGCGCUUGAGAGAACUCGGGUGAAGGAACUAGGCAAAAUGGUGCCGUAACUUCGGGAGAAGGCACGCUGACACGUAGGUGAAGUGAUUUACUCAUGGAGCUGAAGUCAGUCGAAGAUACCAGCUGGCUGCAACUGUUUAUUAAAAACACAGCACUGUGCAAACACGAAAGUGGACGUAUACGGUGUGACGCCUGCCCGGUGCCGGAAGGUUAAUUGAUGGGGUCAGCGCAAGCGAAGCUCCUGAUCGAAGCCCCGGUAAACGGCGGCCGUAACUAUAACGGUCCUAAGGUAGCGAAAUUCCUUGUCGGGUAAGUUCCGACCUGCACGAAUGGCGUAAUGAUGGCCAGGCUGUCUCCACCCGAGACUCAGUGAAAUUGAACUCGCUGUGAAGAUGCAGUGUACCCGCGGCAAGACGGAAAGACCCCGUGAACCUUUACUAUAGCUUGACACUGAACAUUGAGCCUUGAUGUGUAGGAUAGGUGGGAGGCUUUGAAGUGUGGACGCCAGUCUGCAUGGAGCCGACCUUGAAAUACCACCCUUUAAUGUUUGAUGUUCUAACGUGGACCCGUUACCCGGGUUGCGGACAGUGUCUGGUGGGUAGUUUGACUGGGGCGGUCUCCUCCUAAAGAGUAACGGAGGAGCACGAAGGUUGGCUAAUCCUGGUCGGACAUCAGGAGGUUAGUGCAAUGGCAUAAGCCAGCUUGACUGCGAGCGUGACGGCGCGAGCAGGUGCGAAAGCAGGUCAUAGUGAUCCGGUGGUUCUGAAUGGAAGGGCCAUCGCUCAACGGAUAAAAGGUACUCCGGGGAUAACAGGCUGAUACCGCCCAAGAGUUCAUAUCGACGGCGGUGUUUGGCACCUCGAUGUCGGCUCAUCACAUCCUGGGGCUGAAGUAGGUCCCAAGGGUAUGGCUGUUCGCCAUUUAAAGUGGUACGCGAGCUGGGUUUAGAACGUCGUGAGACAGUUCGGUCCCUAUCUGCCGUGGGCGCUGGAGAACUGAGGGGGGCUGCUCCUAGUACGAGAGGACCGGAGUGGACGCAUCACUGGUGUUCGGGUUGUCAUGCCAAUGGCACUGCCCGGUAGCUAAAUGCGGAAGAGAUAAGUGCUGAAAGCAUCUAAGCACGAAACUUGCCCCGAGAUGAGUUCUCCCUGAGACUUAGAGUCUCCUGAAGGAACGUUGAAGACGACGACGUUGAUAGGCCGGGUGUGUAAGCGCAGCGAUGCGUUGAGCUAACCGGUACUAAUGAACCGUGAGGCUUAACCUUACAACGCCGAAG